Molecule: long non-coding RNA, 990 nt
Organism: Lagenorhynchus albirostris (white-beaked dolphin)
Lineage: Eukaryota; Metazoa; Chordata; Mammalia; Artiodactyla; Delphinidae
Exons: 4
Source: RefSeq, a predicted model, not a curated record
AUAUAACUGCCCAAGUGAUAAACUACAAUCUGCUAAGUGAAAUGAGAACUGAACACUAGGGUCUACGUAUUUAUAUCAAUAUAAUGAAAACAAUGAAUUAAAUGAAUGCUUCACACUCCUGUCAUAGACUGUGCCAUUUCCAAGCCCUAACAGGGCUUUAACAGAUUUGUUUGUUAACUCAUUUAUUCACCUACCCGUUCCUUCUUCCUUCUCCCAUUUCCUUCUCUAUAUUUCUCCCUCAGAGGCUGUCCUUGAAACAUGUGCUAGCCAAUGCAGUAUUCGUUUGCCUACAAGAGUCAACUUGGUCCUUCUUGAAUGUGUUUACUGACAGGAAUACCAACUGGAAUCUAUAAUCCUCUAAGAGUUUUCUCUCCAAGGUGAAGUGUGGAUGAAUGCAGCCUUGGUUCUGAACUAUCAUAACACUGCAGCCAAGUGGUUGUAGGUACUAUUAUGAUAAUAAUACUUCAUUCUACAUCAGCAGAUAAGAUACAGAUCAAGAGUUUCAAGAUUUCCUUGUGGAGAUGGAGCUGAUAUGUCGUCAGCUGAAUAACUCGAUAGAAGAAAGAUCAUGGCCUGGCGACAUGAUUGGAAUCUACGUGGAAGAGAGCUGGGAUCGAGAAAGUGGAGCACAUUCUAAAGACUAUGGCUGCCACACAUGGAAUGUGACACCUCUGUGUUGCUAAGGGAAUGUCAUGAAUAGGAAUGAAAGAAAAGAUAUUCAAUCACACAAUAUGCUUUGACAAUAUUAGGCUCUGAAAAAACACAGUCUUCCGUGUACUCACUGUUUUUGCACUGACAAGUUCGACAACCAUUGUGAUCAAGUUUGAAACCAUAAAUGCAGUCCUUCUCUGUCAGGGUGCAGUUUGAUGACUCUCCACACGCAGGUGGAUCAAUUGUGAUGUAGGUUGGUUCUAAUAAUAAAGAGAGAAAAAAAAAUCAAUGAAACAUAUGAUUACCUCUUAGAUGCUAUUCAAUCUUUGAAAUCCCACA